GCUUCUGGAACGACACGGUUCAACCGUCUCUUUAGCCUGUUAGCCGACAAGAAGGAGAAACGUUGAAGCUCUGUCGACCAUAUUUGUGUAGUUACACAAAUAACGCCCCAGUGAUUUAAACACAGUACUGUUAACGUAUCUACUAGUUCAUUUAAACGUAAUUAGCUUGUUAUUACAUUUGCAAAUGUGUUACCGAGCCUAGCACUAGGCUAGUCGCUAAUGCUAAGUAGCUAGGUAGCUAGCUAGCUAACAUCCCUGACAAUGAGCUCACAAAGCUACUCUCCUCCUGCUAAUGAAGAGGAGGUCUGCUGGACGGAGAAAGCAGCUCUGGGGAUGAACAUUGUCAUUAAAGAAGAAGAAGAGGGGAUAUUACAGUGAUAGGAACGGAAGAAGCUUUUCGAAUUAAAACAGAGGAAGAGGAGGAAGGGAUAGAGGCUGUCACCGUGAAAGAGGAAGAGGGGAUAGAGGUUGUCAUAGUGGAAGAAGAGGUAGAAGCUUUCAGAAUGAAAAAUGAGAUAGAGGAGGAUAUCACAUUGAAAGAAGAAGAACCUUUUGUAGUGAAAGAGGAGGAGACUGAAGAUCCGAUUAACACCAAUCCACAAAUGAGGCAAUAUGCAGUUUCCUGGCCCUCCCAGGGCUCUACAGUGAAUGAGGACAUCAGAAAGACACAGGAAGAAUCUAAUGUGACACCCGUGAGUCCCAGACAGUUUGGUGGUGAUGACGAUGCUAUUCACUGCGACAAAGAAUGGGACGUGAAAGACAAGGAUUGGUUUCCUAGCAACAGGCUGAAGGCGGAGUCGGCUCCAGAGCCACACCCCAGAGCAGAGGGGGAGUGGUGACAUGUCUUUCCCUCUCCCAGAGUCCCCAGGUCGUGCCUCUCCCCACUGUUGCCUUACUGUG
Molecule: long non-coding RNA, 900 nt
Organism: Oncorhynchus masou masou (cherry salmon)
Lineage: Eukaryota; Metazoa; Chordata; Actinopteri; Salmoniformes; Salmonidae
Exons: 3
Source: RefSeq, a predicted model, not a curated record